This 762-nucleotide long non-coding RNA is filed under the name Equus caballus (horse). RNAcentral describes it as "lncRNA (ENSECAG00000058445.1)". Lineage: Eukaryota; Metazoa; Chordata; Mammalia; Perissodactyla; Equidae. The record is from RNAcentral.
CUGUAAUCCAGGCCAUGGAGACACAUGAAAGGGAACUGAAAAGAGCUGAGAGCCCCUCUGUGCUGGCCAUGGGGAGGCCUUCCUGGAGGAAGGGAAUGUCAAGAAACCAACUCUGCUGACGCCUUGAUCUCGGACUUCCAGCCUCCAGGACUCUGAGACAAUCACUUUCUGUUGUAUCACUUAGGAGACCUGGCAGAAAAAUUGCAAGAAGGCAGCCCUCUGCAAGCCAGGACGAGAGCCCUCUCCAGGAACUGAAUCCACCAGCAGCUUGAUCUUGGACUUCCUAACCUCUUAAACUGGGAGAAGAUAAAUUUUUGUUGUUUAAGCCACCCAGUCUUUGGCAUUUUGUUAUAGUAGCAUGAGCGGACUAAUACAUUGCACAGUAAAUCUAAUAAUUUCUCAUUGAUAGCUAUAUUCAACAAAAGUUAAUCUACCUCUGAAGAAAAAUUUUUAAAGGUUGCUAGUUGCUGGCGAAAGGAAAAUUGCAGUUCUGACCUCCAGAGGAACUGGAAACUGAAGCCAUUAAUCUGACCUCGUGGAGGGGAUGGAGACAAAACCAGCCAUAUGGACAGUAUGUGAUUGAGCCCCAAUAAAAACUCUGAACGCCAAAGGCUCAGGUGAGAUUCCCUGGUUGACAAUACUCCAGCCACACAUUGUGGCCAGGAGGUGACACCAUCUAUGACUCCAUGGGGAGACAACAACCAGAAGCAGCCCUGCGUUUGGACUUCUCCCAGACUCAGCCCUACGAGUCUCUUCCCUCUG